Molecule: ribosomal RNA, 404 nt
Filed under: Sarcophaga fertoni
Lineage: Eukaryota; Metazoa; Arthropoda; Insecta; Diptera; Sarcophagidae
Description: partial 16S ribosomal RNA
Rfam family: Bacterial large subunit ribosomal RNA
Source: RNAcentral
UUUAAAUGGCCGCAGUAUAUUAACUGUGCAAAGGUAGCAUAAUCAUUAGUCUUUUAAUUGAAGGCUGGUAUGAAUGGUUGGACGAGAUAUUAACUGUUUCAUAAUAAUUUAUAAUAAAAUUUUAUUUUUUAGUUAAAAAGCUAAAAUUUAAUUAAAAGACGAGAAGACCCUAUAAAUCUUUAUAUAUAAAUUAUUAGGAUUUUGUAGAUUUUUUUUAUUAUAAUAAUUAGUUGUAUUUUAUUGGGGUGAUAUUAAAAUUUAAUGAACUUUUAAUUUUAAAAAUCAUUAAUUUAUGAAUAAUUGAUCCAUUAAUAGUGAUUAAAAAAAUAAGUUACUUUAGGGAUAACAGCGUAAUUUUUUUGGAGAGUUCAUAUCGAUAAAAAAGAUUGCGACCUCGAUGUUGG